This 458-nucleotide unclassified non-coding RNA is filed under the name Hevea brasiliensis (rubber tree). Lineage: Eukaryota; Viridiplantae; Streptophyta; Magnoliopsida; Malpighiales; Euphorbiaceae. The record is from RNAcentral.
CAACGAAAUCGAUAGGCAUUCUUGAUAUCCCCUCAACUUUUCUCUGCAGAAUACUCAGGAAGGCAGUGCGAGGAAGGAAAUUUGGCAGUUCAAUCCCUCUGGAUUCCUCAAGAACACUAAUCUCCUCCAUCAGGAAGUUCCUUCUAGGAUCACUUUCAGGGCAGUUAUUAAGUUCAUUCGAGUAACUGUUGAGCAUUUCAACCAAUCUAGCAGUACAAUGCAUAUGAUGAUCAUCAAGGUACUCAUCAAACUCUCCUCUAAUUAGGAUUUUCCUGAGAGACUCCUUGGCUGAUCCGACAAUGCCCAUGAAAGCUGUCAUGACUUCAGCAGGAGAGGAAAGGGUCUUAGGCAUCCUAUUCAGCUCUGAAAUGCUUGCAUUCAGCUUUUCAUUAAUCUUUCUCACUAUAUCUGGCAAGCACCUGGCUAUUAUAAUUGCUUGAAUUUGAGUCAGUUUUUGA